Molecule: ribosomal RNA, 763 nt
Filed under: Odorrana mutschmanni
Lineage: Eukaryota; Metazoa; Chordata; Amphibia; Anura; Ranidae
Description: partial 12S ribosomal RNA
Rfam family: Bacterial small subunit ribosomal RNA
Source: RNAcentral
UCUCAGCACACCAGUGAGAACGCCCUUUCAACCUUCACCAGGUCAAGGAGCUGGCAUCAGACACUAACCCAAGUCCAUAACGCCUAGUCUCACCACACCCCCAAUGGUCAUCAGCAGUGAUAAAUUUUGAGCAUAAGCGAUAGCUUGACUCAGUUAGAGAAAAGAGGGCCGGCCAACCCGGUGCCAGCCGCCGCGGCUACCCCGUGGGGCUCAAGUUGAAAGUCAUCGGCGUUAAGCGUGAUUAAAGUCCAUUCAGAUUAGGGCUAAAUUAAUACUCAGUUGUUUAAAGCUCGUCAUUAAGAAGAACAUAAACGAAAGUUGCCCUAACCCCCACACUUGAAUUCACGACAGCUGGGGAACAAACUGGGAUCAGAUACCCCACUAUGCCCAGCCGUAAACAAUUAAUUUACAACUAUAAGCGCCAGGGAAUUACGAGCCAUGCUUAAAACCCAAAGGAUUUGACGGUGUCCCACCCCCCUAGAGGAGCCUGUUCUAUAAUCGAUGAUCCCCGCUAUACCCGACCACUUCUUGCUCAUCAGUCUGUAUACCUCCGUCGAAAGCUUACCAUGUGAACGCCACUCAGUAGGUUCAAUGAUCCCCAUCAACACGUCAGGUCAAGGUGCAGCUCAAGAAGUGGGAAGUAAUGGGCUACAAUUUCUAAUCUAGAACAAACGAAAGACUAUGUGAAAUCAUAGUCCAGAAGGCGGAUUUAGUAGUAAAAAGAAAAUAGAGUGUUCUUUUUAACCCGGCUCUGGGACGCGUA